This is a long non-coding RNA of Cyprinus carpio (common carp), 2534 nucleotides long. The record is from Ensembl. Lineage: Eukaryota; Metazoa; Chordata; Actinopteri; Cypriniformes; Cyprinidae.
AUCAGGAAAGUAUCACUGAUACCAACUGAUGUAUGGAUUUUUUCCCUAAUAUUAAACCAUUGAUUAUAACUACUCAACAUUACAGUAUAAUUGAGAACUAUCAAUUUAACAUUUAUAAGGCUUAUAAGAAAAAUAACUUCUAAUUUAAGUGAACUUAUAACAAUAUUCACAUAAACCCAUUAUAAUAAAUGUCAUAUAGCCUAUAGCUACCUGUGCCCUUCAGCAAGAAAAUAUAGCCUAAUUUAAUAAAGUUUAAUAAAAAUAAAGCUAAAAACUACAUAAGUUAUUGAUUUCCUCUUUUUAAUUUUGUUCUUUGAUUGACAGACAUCACAGCAGCUGGAUAUUAGUUUAUUUUUGCUGCUACUUUAAGAACUGCCGCUGCUGGACUUGAUUCGGCUCUGACACUGCUGUAAAUGUGACAAAUUAAUACUUGCGUGCACAGUUUUAAGGCAGCUUUAAUCACCAUGUUUUGUAACUUCAUGACUUAACUGAAGACAUAACUACAAUGUUGCAUACUCGUAGUUUAAUUUGGGUUUGAAUAUGAUAUAGCGCUUUAAUUACAGCCCGCACCAGCACAUUUAUGCAUGCACUUCUUAGAGCAUGUGCUAUGAGUACAGUAUAAUGGCUGGCAGGACAGGAAGAUUCAUGUUCACUGACAUAUGGCCUGACAGCAUCUCAUCUAACUGCAGUUCACUGAUGUUCUACUGAAGCUCCUUGUCCCCCGUUUGGUUUCCACGCUCGUUUGACUUCUUAUUAUACCUACACCUAUUAUACUCAUUUAUGAUUCACAUUCAUAAUUUUAGGUGUUUUUUUUUUUUUUUUGCAUUUUUCUGAUGGGGGGGCAGCCCUCAUAUAGGGGGUUCCUGUCUUUGUUGGACGACGCUAAUCACGGGGUGUGAAAAGUUUUGAGCUUGUCCACUUUCAACCACUUCCAGAGGUAGCUGAAAAUGUAUUCGACCGGAUUGUGUUCAUGGUGUAGACGCUCAUGUGGUCGAAUGUGUCCAAACAGCCACAAAAGCACGCAAGCCAGACAGGAUUACAACAUUUUCAGCUAAGAGAUAAGUUUGUGCUUGAGAUUGCCGAAGACAAUGCUAUAAUGAAAGCAGAUUUCAUUCAGGAGCUUCUUCCAUCUGCGGAGCGAACGGCUCUCCUUUAUCACCUGACUUUCCUGAGUCUGGGAGGAUUCCCAAAGCUGGAGCGUCUGAUCAGAGAUCAAGCUAUUGAAACACAACUGCUGUUCGGAUCCUCUGAAGCCCUUCUGCUGAGGUGUGUCGGCACAAGUUCCAACCUGGUCACCUCCCUGUUUCCAAUGUUGAAAACGGCUGUGGUGAAGAACAAACCCGAUUUGGCGAAGAAGUACCUGAAGAAAGCUGAAGACUGGAUCACUGACAUCAUAACACAAGUGGAUGACAUUGUGAAGAGGUAUGAUAAACACAACCAAAGUGUGAAAACAUGCACCAGUGAUGUGUAUCAAGAACAAGCAGAGACCAAAGAAGAAAAAGAUAAAAAAUCUGAUGAGAUGAAGGGUCUGGAGGUUGCUGUCGCCAAGCUCCAACUGGAUCUGAAAAAAGUAGUCGACAAAGUGGAGAUGAAUGAGAAACAAAUUAAAAACAACACUGAGGAGCUGAAUAGCUUCAUCAGUAGAUUUCAGGAAGAACAUGGCCACUGGACUGUGAAGUUCCUUGACGCUUUUAGAGGCUAUCCAGACGCUAUGAAGGAGCCUACUGCCAUUGAUCUGGAUAGAAAACUGAAACAACUCGACUCUGAGAAGAGCCUUCUGAAAAAUGAAGAGUGGAACAUCAAAACCAAGCAGCUUGAUCUUCAGCUGCAGCUGGCCAACUGUAAAAUACGGAUGGGUGAGAUUCCCAACCCUGACAACCUGAAGGAAGUCCAGCUGUGUCUUUCUCAAAUCCAACAAAUUCUCAUUGAUCUGAAAAAGUUUUGGGAGAAGGUGGAUGCUAUUCUGAGCACGCUGAGAGAUAGAACCUUUGCUGGGGAAGAAAUGGUUGACAUGGAGGACAUGAAGGAUGAGUUCAUAAGCUCUAUUGAAGAUGCAGCAAAGUACUGGAAGAAAUUUGGUGUGUGCUGUCAGAAAGCUCAAGGCGUCUUCAGUGUUCAGUCUAGAGAUGCAUAUAAAUUCCUGGAGAUGAAUCCGUCUUCGCUCUCUGAGGAGGAGAGGAAAAAGCAGUACUUGUCUAUCACAGAGAAGCUGAAUAAAAUCAAUCCAAACCCGCCAGCACUGAGUAACACCCAGAUCUGAUGCUUCCUGAAUGCUCCUUACACAAAUCAAUGCAUACAGCUUCUCUUGGCAUUUUCAUAAUUCUGUGUAAUCUCCUGUAAAUUGUUCUUGAACAUGUUCAAUUACAGUUCUACAUAUGCAUGUUCUUUAACAAGUUGAUGUUAGGAAUAUUAUUUAGAUCAAUUUAUGGCUAUCUCUUUCAAAAUUGCUUUGCAUUUUUAUCAUGCUGUAUACAGAUCUUGUGGUCUGGUCAUGUGAUUAAUGUCUAUGUCUCACAAUAAAGACAAAAGGCAUG